RNAcentral lists this long non-coding RNA (1658 nucleotides) under Homo sapiens (human). RNAcentral describes it as "non-protein coding NDUFA6-DT:46". Lineage: Eukaryota; Metazoa; Chordata; Mammalia; Primates; Hominidae. The record is from RNAcentral.
GCAUGCUCAUCUACAGAAACGCCGCUUGGCCUUUGGACUACACCAUCUGUCGCUCGCUCUAACGAGCCGGCGUUGCCGCCAGGGGACGCUCGGGCCGCAGGAGGUCGCUGGGUCGUGAGCUGGCGCCGGGGACGCCGAGCGACUGCGGGGUUUCCCUCAGCGUCCUGCUAUCCGGCUGCCCGCCGCGCUCCUUGGUAGUGUCCGUGGGCGCGCAGGCCUUGAAGAACCUCCUCGUGGCGGGACCCCGAGCGCAGGAGAGGUGUCAAAGAGCUGGCGCGUCUCCAGAGCCCCGGGAGGAAGGCUGUAACGGCAGCCCCAUCGUAGACAGGGACAUUCGCAUCCCGAGCCCUGGAUCUCUGAAAACCAGCCCAGAAUUUGGAAGCUGGAAGGAACUUUAGAUCGUCCAUUCUGAGUGUCUCUCUUCGCUGGCGUUUUCCCACUGAGGUUAUGUAAACAUGAAGAGGAGCCUACAAGUGUCAAGGAAAAAACGACAGCUAACCACAGGGCAGGCCAUGGGCAAGAUAUCUCAGUGUUCUCCGCUCUCAUAGGUCAGAGUGAGACUCACCUAGGCUGGACUGCAAUGGUGCAAUCUCGGCUCACUGCAACCUCCGCCUCUCAUGUUCAAGCCAUUCUCCUGCCUCAGCUUUCCGAAUCGCUGGGAUUACAGGUCACGACCCCCAGGAGACCUGGAGGACUGAAUGCUGCUGCCCCCAAGGAGGAGGCUGCCGUCUUAUCCCAGGAGGGAGAGCAGGUGAAGUCCCCAGGGGAGGAAGCACCUAGCCCCAUUCCUGCUGAGCAGGAGGUGGCAGGUACCCCAGACUGGGAGGUAAGGACAGCCCGGGGCUUCGACUGAACGUCUCCAGCGUGGGUCCAACUGAGCAGCCAUGGAGCACUGCAGAGUGGGAGGCAGCAGGGCAGGGAGGCAGUGCUGGAGGCUGGCUCAACCCCAAGACCAGCAGGCCAAGCUGCCAUCCCAGGGGAGCGAGGACGUCUGUGCAGAGCUGAGAGGCAGCAGCCAUGUGUGAACAGACUGGGCCUCAUCCUGGCCCCACCGACUUUGUGUGGACAGAGCCUGUUUCCCUGUCUGUGCAACACAGAACCUGCCUGAUCUCACUGCUGGAUCCCUCUUCUUCCUGCCAGGAAAAUAAAAAGGUUCAAAAGGAAGUUGCUGCGUAUCCAUCUGAGGCCUCUGAGGACAGCAAAGAGCAAAGGCCCUGGGACCGGGUCUACGUGCCCAUGACAGAGCUCUGGCUGGACUGGUUCUGAGCCUCUAACACCCCCAAGACUCAGAACCGUGAAGAAAAUCUUUCCAAUAAAUCCAAGAGUUGCUGCUGCUAUAGGCCAGGCUGCCACCUUUCGGGGCCUCCGUCUUCAGACAAACCCAGCCUGGCUUCAUCCACACUCCCUGUCCCCACAGCUGCAGGAACAGCACUUCCUGCCACCGAGCCGUGUGACCACAGUGGAUUGUCUCUGGAGGGGCCCAAGGGGGCCCUGGCCACCCUUCUGACUGACUCGGUGCCAGGGGACAGACCAACGUCCCUCUCGUGCUGACAGCCGGGCCGCACCCUGGCAUGAGGGCAUUUACAGAAAUGCUGGCGGAACUGCUGCCAGGGAGGCUGUAGGGUCCUCUGGCAAAAGAGGCCUCAGGUGGCUCCUCA